Molecule: small nucleolar RNA, 94 nt
Organism: Erpetoichthys calabaricus (reedfish)
Lineage: Eukaryota; Metazoa; Chordata; Cladistia; Polypteriformes; Polypteridae
Gene: SNORD21
Rfam family: Small nucleolar RNA SNORD21
About the family: U21 is a member of the C/D class of snoRNA which contain the C (UGAUGA) and D (CUGA) box motifs. U21 is encoded within an intron of the gene for ribosomal protein L5 in mammals, but within introns of the ADP ribosylation factor gene in Drosophila.
Source: Ensembl
GCUUUAUGAUGACUUCUCUUGAACUGAGCAAAUUGGAGUUGGUCCUUCAUUUGCAUAUGAUGUUGUCUUGUUUCAAGACGGGACUGAAAGCAGU